CGUUGCAACACCGAUUCACGUACGAUCAGCGAAGUUAAGCAGCGUCGAACAUGACCAGUACUUAGGUGGGUGACCGCUUGAUAAUUAAUACCAGGUGCUGUAAG
Non-coding RNA from Acanthosepion pharaonis, 104 nucleotides. NCBI's taxonomy places the organism in Eukaryota, Metazoa, Mollusca, Cephalopoda, Sepiida, Sepiidae. The record is from the annotation of a GenBank genome assembly.